UGAACGCUGGCGGAAUGCUUUACACAUGCAAGUCGAGCGGCAGCGCGGGGGCAACCCUGGCGGCGAGCGGCGAACGGGUGAGUAACACAUCGGAACGUACCCAGUUGUGGGGGAUAGCCCGGCGAAAGCCGGAUUAAUACCGCAUACGACCUGAGGGUGAAAGGGGGGGAUCGCAAGACCUCUCGCAGUUGGAGCGGCCGAUGGCGGAUUAGCUAGUUGGUGGGGUAAAGGCCUACCAAGGCGACGAUCCGUAGCUGGUCUGAGAGGACGACCAGCCACACUGGAACUGAGACACGGUCCAGACUCCUACGGGAGGCAGCAGUGGGGAAUUUUGGACAAUGGGGGCAACCCUGAUCCAGCCAUUCCGCGUGAGUGAAGAAGGCCUUCGGGUUGUAAAGCUCUUUCGGCAGGAACGAAACGGUGGAGGCUAAUACCUUUCAUCAAUGACGGUACCUGAAGAAGAAGCACCGGCUAACUACGU
This 481-nucleotide ribosomal RNA is filed under the name uncultured bacterium. Its description in RNAcentral is "bacterial SSU rRNA". It matches the Rfam family "Bacterial small subunit ribosomal RNA", at positions 30 to 506 of the family's 1533-position model. The record is from RNAcentral.